GAGGGGUUGUAGCUGGUCUCAAUUAAGGGACAUGUGCACACCUCACUCAUCCACUCUCAAACCUCUGUGAACUUAUUGUAGGUCGGUGAAAGGCUUGGUUUUAAUUAAUCAGGUUGGAAGCCUUCCUAUGUUUUUACUACAAACGCUUUAGUUAUAGAAUGUCAUACGCGUAUAACGCAUUUAUAUACAACUUUCAGCAACGGAUCUCUUGGCUCUCGCAUCGAUGAAGAACGCAGCGAAAUGCGAUAAGUAAUGUGAAUUGCAGAAUUCAGUGAAUCAUCGAAUCUUUGAACGCACCUUGCGCUCCCUGGUAUUCCGGGGAGCAUGCCUGUUUGAGUAUCAUGGAAUUCUCAACCUUCAAUACUUUUUUAAAAAGAGUGUCGAAGGCUUGGACUUGGAGGCUUUGUGCUGGCUCUGUAUUGAGUCGGCUCCUCUGAAAUGUAUUAGCGUGAAUCACUAUGGAUCGCUUCGGUGUGAUAAUUAUCUGCGCCGUGGUCGUGAAGUAUUAAUUCAAGUUCGCGCUUCUAAUCGUCCUUCAUGGGACAAUUACAUUGAACUUUUGAUCUCAAAUCAGGUAGGACUACCCGCUGAACUUAAGCAUAUCAAUAAGCGGGGGG
This 617-nucleotide ribosomal RNA is filed under the name Phaeophlebiopsis peniophoroides. RNAcentral's name for it is "eukaryotic LSU rRNA". The stretch from base 189 to 342 matches the Rfam family "5.8S ribosomal RNA". Lineage: Eukaryota; Fungi; Basidiomycota; Agaricomycetes; Polyporales; Phanerochaetaceae. The record is from RNAcentral.